GAUGAACGCUGGCGGCGUGCCUAAUACAUGCAAGUCGAGCGAACAGACGAGGAGCUUGCUCCUCUGACGUUAGCGGCGGACGGGUGAGUAACACGUGGAUAACCUACCUAUAAGACUGGGAUAACUUCGGGAAACCGGAGCUAAUACCGGAUAAUAUAUUGAACCGCAUGGUUCAAUAGUGAAAGACGGUUUUGCUGUCACUUAUAGAUGGAUCCGCGCCGCAUUAGCUAGUUGGUAAGGUAACGGCUUACCAAGGCAACGAUGCGUAGCCGGCCUGAGAGGGUGGUCGGCCACACAGGAACUGAGACACGGUCCAGACUCCUACGGGAGGCAGCAGUAGGGAAUCUUCCGCAAUGGGCGAAAGCCUGACGGAGCAACGCCGCGUGAGUGAUGAAGGUCUUCGGAUCGUAAAACUCUGUUAUUAGGGAAGAACAAAUGUGUAAGUAACUAUGCACGUCUUGACGGUACCUAAUCAGAAAGCCACGGCUAACUACGUG
Molecule: ribosomal RNA, 497 nt
Filed under: uncultured bacterium
Lineage: Bacteria
Description: partial 16S ribosomal RNA
Rfam family: Bacterial small subunit ribosomal RNA
Source: RNAcentral